Molecule: long non-coding RNA, 269 nt
Organism: Orbicella faveolata
Lineage: Eukaryota; Metazoa; Cnidaria; Anthozoa; Scleractinia; Merulinidae
Source: RefSeq, a predicted model, not a curated record
UUGCAGGUGUGCCUCUUCUCUUUAUAAAUCGCAACACAAUACUUCUUGAGAAACCUUCAACCACAUCCCAUCAAGCAUCUGAAAAGGUUGAAAUGUCUCGUCUCCAACCUUCUAAACAUGAAAAAGAAACGCUAGAAAAGCUGAGCGACUCCACAACAGAACUAAAACCACGCCGUAAACGAAAACGACCGGGGGGGCCAAAUCCACUCUCGGUACUGAAAAGCAAGAGGAAAAAGGACGACAAACACUCAGCUAGCGACGAUACCAAG